GAAACGGCCUACACUGUAAAUCAUAUAGGUGGAAAUUUAGGGGUGGUUUUUUUGUUAUCGUGGUAACAUCCACAAAUGCGUGGAAAUACACACGUGUGGUAUCACUAUUUCCACCAUUUGACUUAUAUCAGCAUAUCUUGUACCCGCCCAUCACCCAAAAGGUGGAGUUGGCCACCACUAAUCAAAAUAUUGGAUUUAGUGAAAUAAAUUCCGCUAACCCAUAUAUUUAGAAAACACCUGUUAUUCCGGACGUUCAUUGAGUAUUUACUAUAAUAUAAACAAGUUGUCAGUGCAUUUGGCUUAUUUGUAAAACCUUGUUGAAAUAUAUACUUCUAAAUCUCACUCGUAUGCCAAUUUUGCAUUUCGAAAAGAAUUUUGUUUUAGGUUUGAUUUGAUUUUAAAUUACCGAAGUAAACCAAUGUCAAACAGACAGUGGGUCACGUUCAAAAGUUGGUUUUAUUUAUUUAUUUAUUGUUAUUUCUGUGUUUGCGGCGUGGUCGUGGGAAAAUUUACUGCGCAUGCGCAUUUCCGUCAUGCAGUUUUUGUGAAACGUGUUCGGUUUUUUUGUAUUAAUAUAGUGCAAACGCUGUUAGGAAGUAAAGUAAAGAAUAAAGAUCGGUAUGUUAUAAUUGCAUUUUCAAUGUUAUUUACUUACUUUUACAGUCUAUUUAACCUAAUUUAAAAAUGGAGGGAAUACCUUGCCCAUAUCAGGAAUGCUGUGAAACAAUGGCCAAACCAAGUUUAAUUCACCAUUUAAAGUUUGAGCAUGGAAAGACUAUUAUUUACCAAUGUAAAAUAGCGAAAUGUGGUUUAAUUUAUUCAAGUGUACGGAGCUAUGAAAAGCAUCUCCUAAGAAUGCAUUCCAAUUAUUCAUCAAUCAUUCAUCAGCAAGAUCCAGUUGUUUCAGAUUAUGUGGAAUGUCACGAACCCAAUUCAUCUGACGAUAAUGUUUGUGAGGGGGAGCAAACGUUUGUGAGCAAUUUUGUUAAGUUUUGUUUGCAACUACGAGAGCGUUAUAUCUUGCCUCAACGCGCAUAUGAAACCAUUAUAAAUGACAUGACUGCCUUGUUUUCCCAUUUUCAUCAAAAUUUAAUCAAGCACUUCAAAUCUGAGGUUGGAUUCAAUGAGCAUUUAGAAAAUCCAAAUUUUUUACCAGACCUGUGGAAGAAAUUACAGAACAAAUCCAUGUUUGAGCAGAGCUGUCAGUCGCUAGGGUUGGUUCAACCUGAAACAGUAAAGAGUGAUAAUAAUAAUAACAUAACUUUUCAAUAUGUACCAAUAGUAAAAUCUUUGUCGAAUUAUUUAAACCAGCAAGAUGUGCUGCAGGCAGUUUUAUUGAAUAACAGAUCAUGUGCUUCACAGACAAAUGUUCUUUGUGAUUUUACAGACGGUGAAUAUUUUCGUACAAAAUCAUAUUUCAGGGGCAACCGAGACUUGUUGCGACUUCAUUUUUAUUGCGAUGAACUGGAAGUUUGUAAUCCACUAGGUUCUUCAAAAACAAAGCACAAGCUUACUGUGUUUUAUUAUUAUGUGGGAAACAUUGGUGUAAAACAUAGUGCUAGCUUGAAAAAUAUAUUUUUGGCUCUUCUCAUUGAAUCUAAGAAGCUGAAAACAAUUGGUUAUCAUACUGCUCUUAAACCUCUUAUAAAAGAUUUACAGUUUUUGCAAGAGAAAGGGAUUGUCACAUGUGAUGGUGCACAUACACUAUAUGGUACUAUAGCAACAUUGUCUGCUGAUAACCUUGGCGCUCAUGAACUUGGCGGAUUUCGAAAAUUAGCGGCCGAAUUAUGUCGCUUUUGUAUGUGCUUAUAUAGCGAAUUAAAACUUAAUACACGUGAAGAAGAUUUUGUUUUAAGAAAUCCCACCACACAUGCACUGCAUGUUAGUGGUGUUGAAAUGGACAGCACAUUGUCUUGUGCAUACGGUGUACUUGAAAGUUGUGCAUUUUCAUCAGUAAUUGGUUUUUCCCCUGUUACGUCUUUGCCACCAGAUAUUAUGCAUGACUGCAUGGAAGGUGUACAGCAGUAUUUUUUGCAAUACCUUUUUAGACACUUAUCUUCAGAAAAAAUUUGUUCUAUCAGUGAAUUAAAUGAAAAGCUUAGCUGCUUUCCAUAUGGACCAACAGACUACAAGAAUAAACCGAGGAGUCUACCAGGACAAGUUGUUCGUGUUAAUGGAAAAUUUUCAAUGUGUGCAAGUGAGACGUGGUGCUUGUUUAGGCUAAUCCCACUUGUUGUGGGACAGCUUGUUCCAGAAGGAGACAAAGCAUGGAAGUUGUAUUCUCUUUUGGCAGAAAUAAUGGAAAUUGUUUUUGCACCUAAAAUUGAUGUAAUGCAUGUGAAUCACUUAAAAUUGUUGAUUGAUGAAUUUUAUUGUUCAUUUCUUAAGGAAGCAGAAGACUUAAUCAAACCAAAAUUUCACUUUCUCCUGCAUUAUCCAAGACUUAUAGCAUAUUAUGGUCCUUUAAGGCACUUGUGGUGUAUGAGAUUCGAGUCGUUUCACAGGAAGUUAAAAAAAAUAGCGAAAGUGUCACAAAACUUUAAAAACAUUUGUUUGACAGUUGCACAAAGAUUGCAGUAUGGAAAAUGUUACGAACAUUUUAGUGGAACAUGUAUAGCAGAAGUCAAUGAAGUUGGUAAUCAAACUGUAACUAAUUUAAACAAUUUUGAUACCAAAAUAUCCACUUUUCUUUUGUCUUUGACACCUCACUGCGCAGAUAGUGUUUUGUAUUCUGCCACUAGUGUCCAUAUAAAUGGUGCAAAGUAUGUGUAUGGAAAUGUUUUUUUACUUGACAUAAAUAAUGAAUUACCUGUUUUUGGCCAAAUCAAGGAUAUUAUUAUUUAUCAUCAAUAUGUGGUAAUUGUUUGUGUAUAUGUACUUGCUAAAAGUUUUGACAGACAUUUGCACUCCUACAUAGUUAGCACUACAGAGGAGUUAGUAUUUCUGCAACCCGGAUUUGAAUUAAAUUAUCACCCCCUUGAUUUAUAUGACAUAGGUGAUAAAAAAGUUAUUCGUCUCAGACACACACUUGUGCAACAAUAGGCUUAAAAAUGAUAAAUGCGUUUAUACAGCACUAACCCUGUGUUUCUUGUUUAGAUUUUCAGUAUGGCUUGUAUGCCUUGUAAAUAUCUAGUUGUAUUUAACAGUACAAAAAAAGUUAUUACAUGCAACAAAACUGAAAUCCCUGACAAAAUAAUGGACAGUUUCAAACUUGAUCAAGGUUUUGAUAUGAAAUUGUUUGAUGAGGAUUUUGAAGAAUGGGUUAGUAUAUCCGACAACUUGAAUGAACUCCCGUCAAAAGGCAAGCUUCGUGUUGUAACUGAAGAGGAUGUUGAAUCCGAUUGUACUGUACCAUUAAAUACUUCGUCGGAAUCGGAAGAAAGCAUGGCACGUGGGGAAACAAGUAAAUCAUGGCUGUUAUCAUACUCUCUGCCAAAGUUCCCUGCAUUCAUUUCUGACAUAUUGGAGACAAACGAAGAAAUAUCGACACACACUAGAAAAAAGAUUGGACAAAUCAUUUUUGAUUCCAUGGCUUGUUACACACUAUAUCCCACUUCAUUUGAAUAUAAAUCUGUUUGCAUGGCACUGUUAAAAAAAUAUCCGAACCUGGCCGAUAAGAGUACAAAAGAUGUUACAGUUACGUUUUAUAUAAUAGUGAUUUGACUCAUUUUAAAAACUUUAUAAUAUGCAGGGUACAUGGCUAGUAAGUCUUAGACAAAGGUUCAGGGAUAUGCGAAGACCCAUGUAUAACAAUGAUACAGUGAAAGCUAUGAAAAGGAAAUAUGGUUUUCAUGCUAGGAGAGACGAUGACCAGUUACAAUCAGCAAAGCGUGUGUUUGUGGCAUCCGAUUGUACGGAGGAUGCAACAAGUAUCAAACUACACAUAAAAGCCUUGGAUGCCGAACUUAAGAAAAAGGAAAGAAAUCUUGAUAUAUUGCAAGACAGAAUGUCCAGAACUUACAGCAUACGCAGAAAAGAGGUUCAGGAAGGGGACUUAAGUAUUUUGGACAUUAUAUCAAAGUACUCCGCUUUAAGAUUACCAUUAUGUUUUCUGGAAGAAGCACAACGUGUUUUCAAAGCUGAUAUACAAGCUAAGUUAAAUGCAGUGAAUCCUAACAUUUGGAAAAAACUGGGAAACUUAACUAAAAUUGCCAAACCAUGUGAAUUGGAUAAGUGGAUGGUUGAUGAAAAGAGUUUGGCACUACUCUUUCUUCCAAGAGUAUUUAAAGAAGAAACAGAACUUUACAUGAUCUAUAACAUG
This is a non-coding RNA of Ciona intestinalis (vase tunicate), 4261 nucleotides long. NCBI's taxonomy places the organism in Eukaryota, Metazoa, Chordata, Ascidiacea, Phlebobranchia, Cionidae. The record is from RefSeq and is a predicted model, not a curated record.